GGACUACAGGGGUAUCUAAUCCUGUUUGAUCCCCAUGCUUUCGUGCCUCAGCGUCAGUUAAUAGCCAGAUAGCCGCCUUCGCCUCUGGUGUUCUACCCAAUAUCUACGAAUUUCACCUCUACACUGGGUAUUCCGCUAUCCUCUCUAUUACUCAAGACAUAUAGUAAUAAAGGCAAUUCCGAGGUUGAGCCCCGGGAUUUCACCCCUAUCUUAUAUAUCCGCCUACACACCCUUUACGCCCAGUAAUUCCGAACAACGCUUGCCCCCUUCGUAUUACCGCGGCUGCUGGCAC
This 292-nucleotide ribosomal RNA is filed under the name uncultured bacterium. RNAcentral's name for it is "partial 16S ribosomal RNA". The record is from RNAcentral.